Molecule: long non-coding RNA, 3741 nt
Organism: Harpia harpyja (harpy eagle)
Lineage: Eukaryota; Metazoa; Chordata; Aves; Accipitriformes; Accipitridae
Exons: 3
Source: RefSeq, a predicted model, not a curated record
AAAGAAAACACGCUGCUGAGUCUUAAUGAGUCCGCACAUACUUUUUCAGAAUUGCUUAUACUUUAGUUGCGACACAGGUCACUGAAAUUCCCCAUGGUCGCAAUGUGGAACCAGAGAUAUGUUGGAGCAAAUUUGGGGGGCAGAAAGCUCUUUCAUUCAAAGGGAUUCAUUUAAUUUCAACUCUGCUAAUUUCAAGUCUCCUCAGAAUCUCUCAUCUUUUCUUUUACUUUUUCCCAGUUUGCCUGCUUUCCCUUUGAUUCUAUUGGGCAUAUUGAAAUCUUCUCAUGUGGCCAGCAUCCUCUCUGUUACAUUGGACAACAAAACAUUGAGUUAAAUACAAGGAGCUUGUAAGGGGAAAAAGAAGAAACACAGCUGAAAAUGAAACAAGGGGCUUCUCUAGCUAUAACAACCUGGUGGAAAACUGUGAUAUGCUAUAUGUUGCAUAUUGCAUGCAUCUCUGGCACAAGCAACUCAAAAAAACCCCAACAAAACUAAAAGCACUCUGGACAGACAUGAUCAAAAUUGCUAUGGAAAUGUUCCCAUAUGAACUGAGACAAAAAGUUUAAAAUUAUUCAGGAAAAAAUGAACAAGGGAGGAAAUGCUGGAAGCCAAGAAAAUAAUAAAUUAUACAGAUGAACUGGGUCAUUUUGCUUGCUCCCUUCAACUUUGUAAGAACAAUAAAGUUCCCUGAAACUACCUAAUGAUCUUUCUCAAAGAGAUAAAGGGGAGUGAAAAUGACACACCAGGUGCUUCUUAUUCUCACAAGACAAUAUCCUAAGAAAAAAAAGAUAUUUCACAGAGCUGUAAUCAACUUGCAUCAUCAGGAGAAAUACUCUGGCUUGGUAUGAAGAGUCCACUGCUGUCUUUUCUUACUAUCUUCUCUAAAUACGUAAAUAUGUGAGCAAAUUCAGCAAAGCCUUUUAGUUUUAAGAAUGCUCGACAGCUUUGUGUGGGUCUAUUGGCUGAAAAAAGCAAAUCUUUCAAAGGAACAUCACAAAGUAAGCUCUUUUCAACCCAAAUCAUUAUUAAGACAUUCAGUUUGUUGUCAGUUGGUAUCACGGAAACCGUAGCUCCAUGAAAGGGAAAGACAUCAGUGAAGAUAACAAGAACACAUAUGAUGACCACACCAAGGGCCUUGGUAAGGCAGAGGACACCUUAGCAGCUGUUCCUUUUCACAAUGUCUGCUAGUAGCUGUAGUUUUCUAAUUAGGUGGGAUAUCCUGGUUUAACUUAGAUGGCUCUAUGUUUAGAGAGAUUCAACCCUCAAAUUUGUUCUUCAUAUUGAGGUAAGAGGGCACGGCAUAAAGGAUACCUCAUAUGAUCAAAUCUUUCUCUGAUAAUUUUAUUUGAUCAGGGAAAGCAAUGCAACGAGUACACAUCAUGACGUAGCCCACAAACGUAACUCAGUUUUGCUCUAUUUAUACAGUUAUGCUUAACAGGGAAAACUUUUAUAUUAGGGAUCCAAAGUUACAGAGCCUUGGCCAGCGGCUAAAAGAAAACAGUAAUUUGCUAAGAAGCCUAUACUUGUUCUAAAUCAAGUGCCUUCACUUGUGUCUUGUAUCAUAUGUGCUUUGUAUGGAUGUAAUUUAUUUUAAGGUAACUUAUUUUAAAAUAUCCAUGCCAAGUGUUUGUGUGAGUGAAUGAGAAUGUGCAUUGUAUAUCCAAGUAAGAACAAAAUGUUGUGAGAAAGGCUGAUUUGAAGUUAUUUCUUAUCCCAGUAAAAUGAGGGAUGCUAUAAGCCUGCUUUUUAUUUCAAGAUGUCCUGCUGUUUAGGUUAGAUCCUAUGUCAAGUCAGUAAGAAUUCUCCCUUUAACUUCAAGAAGAUCAAGAUUGGGGCAGCCACUGUAGUCUUAAUAAAUGUAAAUCUUAUUAGAAAUACCUUCUUUUAUAACAAGUGCCAAGCUGUGCAAAGCUGCAGGCUACAUUACCUUACAACAUUGACUGAAAUGGCAGAAGAGGUUACCAUCCACACUAAUGAAUUUUUUUAAUUACUCUUUGCAAAGAGGGUGGUACAAAAACUCUAGUGAGAAGCAAAUUAAUCCUUGAAUUGAAAUACACUAGUAAGGCUUAAAUAAUAUUAAAAAAAUUAUUUUCUGGUCAGCACUGUUCCUAAAUCAGUCUAGAAUAUGGCAGAUCUUUUUUCUCUUAUCAGUCACUGAGUUUUGGGAACAGAGCUGGUUACUCUUUUGGAGGACAUCUACUUACCCAUUACAGACAGUGGCAUAGACGUCAGAAAUGAAAGCUUCCCCACGCUAUCAACUCUGCUUACCACCCCACUAGCUAGGGAUACGGUGACGAAAGAGAAGUGUAAGGGGAUUUUGGGUGCUAAGGACCAUUCCAGCGGUCUUUAACUUCACCUUCCCUUGAGCUGUUACUGAGAAGUUAAGCUGCCAAGGGCCACUACAUGCUUUAGUUUUCCUGCUGGCCUCAACAGAUGUGUAUCUAUAGAAGUGGAUGCUAGGAUCAGACGCCCAGUAAAGGGGCUCAAGCACAGUAAACUGUGCGAGCUAUGAGCUGGAGACUAUGGGCUCAUUCAGUCUUACGCCUGCCUUGUGAGAUGCUGUGGGGUCAAAGUGAUCACCCAUAUAAAUGGCUUUCCAGACUGAUGGUGCCCAUUCCCGAACAAGCGGCUAGCUGCUGGGAAGGUCAUUGUGUGCAGACUUUUACUGGCAGAAAAAAUGGUGAGAACUGAGCCAGAGGAACAUGGCUUUCUACCAGCCUUCCAAUAGACAUAUCCUGGCAAAUUCAAGUAUGCCCGGUUCCUUUACAAAGAAUGGGUGGCCGGCUGGGAGACAGAUUUUUGCUAGGGAGAUAUAAUAAAGAGGGGUUUUACAGUCAAAUGUGGAAGUUAAUAUGAUGUUUUCUUUUUUAACAAAAAGGCAAGUGAGCCAAUGCAGGUUAAUCAAGAAUGAGCCUCAUUUUUUCCCAAAUGUGAAAUUAAUUCAUAUUGGAAUUUUUAAGGUUUUAAUUUAAUUUCUUUAUUUGAAUUUCUGCAUUUUCUGGUGAUAGAAACAAAUAUGGAUGCAAAGUUCCUUAAUUAUUUACAAUCUGGUUAGAAUAAACAGGUAUCUAUUUUCAUUUACCUUCUGUGAAAACAUUUUGAGUUAACCAAGAAGUCUUUGAAGUCUCUAAUCUGUUUUCUAAAGAAAAAAAUGUUAAUUCAGCUGACUUGCUGCAAGCUACCACUCAUGCAUGCAAGAGCAGGAAAUGCUCCAGUAUGUUACAAAAAUAUACUAAAUAUAUGACUAAACCCAACCACUACUUAGGUAAUUGGUUCAGCCAUGACAGGUUCUCAGUUUUUUUCCACGCUCCUAUUACAUACAACAGAGUACUUUUCUUGUCCAGGCCUGAACAAUAAUCAGGUACAGCUCAUCAGUGAAAUCACAGGCAACCCCUAGAACCAUAAUAAGACAGUAACAAAAGCAGAAUAAAUCCACGGGGAAAUAUUUUCUCCUCUUUUAGUUCCAUUAAAAAAUACAUAUUUAAAGCAGAUUGCAUGUCUCCAGAAAGGAUGCACCUGAUUCAAACAUCAGAUCAAAAAACUUUGUUUUGGGAAGGUUUGGAUAUUUUAUUUGCAUUCAGUUGUCCCUUUUUCUGCCAUAGCCCCAGAUGGUCUCCUUGACCUAAGGAUGGCCACACAGAAAGCGGGCCAGGGAAGAUCAGAACAGGAUCCACUCCUCAAGUCUGGGCUGAGCCCACAGCACCACUUUUGUGGAGGGUGACUGGAGCCUAAUGCCAGAAG